RNAcentral lists this ribosomal RNA (492 nucleotides) under uncultured bacterium. Its description in RNAcentral is "partial 16S ribosomal RNA". It matches the Rfam family "Bacterial small subunit ribosomal RNA", at positions 29 to 507 of the family's 1533-position model. The record is from RNAcentral.
AGUGAACGCUGGCGGUAGGCCUAACACAUGCAAGUCGAACGGCAGCACAGUAAGAGCUUGCUCUUACGGGUGGCGAGUGGCGGACGGGUGAGGAAUACAUCGGAAUCUACUUUUUCGUGGGGGAUAACGUAGGGAAACUUACGCUAAUACCGCAUACGACCUACGGGUGAAAGCAGGGGAUCUUCGGACCUUGCGCGAUUGAAUGAGCCGAUGUCGGAUUAGCUAGUUGGCGGGGUAAAGGCCCACCAAGGCGACGAUCCGUAGCUGGUCUGAGAGGAUGAUCAGCCACACUGGAACUGAGACACGGUCCAGACUCCUACGGGAGGAAGCAGUGGGGAAUAUUGGGCAAUGGGCGAAAGCCUGAUCCAGCCAUACCGCGUGGGUGAAGAAGGCCUUCGGGUUGUAAAGCCCUUUUGUUGGGAAAGAAAAGCAGCAGGUUAAUACCCCGCUGUUCUGACGGUACCCAAAGAAUAAGCACCGGCUAACUUCGUG